GAUGAACGCUGGCGGCGUGCCUAAUACAUGCAAGUCGAACGAAAAGGCGCUGCGCUUGCUCGUCUCUCGUGAGCGGCAGGCGGGUGUAAAACACGUGUAUCCCGUACCUGUCUUAGGGAUAUCUCUUCGAAACUGGGGAGAUAAUACCGUAUGAUAUCUUGCUGCACGUUGUUCGUUGGUAAGUUGCGGCGGUUGUGGAUGGACUCGCGGCUUAUCCGCUUGUUGGUGUGGUUGUGACUUACAAAGGCUUGGAAGGCUAGCCGGCCUGGCAGGGUGACCGGCCACAUUGGGAUUGGGGUACGACCCAUACUGCUACGGGAGGAAGCAGUGGGGAAUAUUGCACAAAGGGCGGAGGCCGGAUGCAGCAACGCCGCGUGCGGGAAGACGGCCUUCGGGUUGUAAACCGCUUUCGCCUGUGACGAAGCGUGAGUGACGGUAAUGGGUAAAGAAGCACCGGCUAACUACGG
This 467-nucleotide ribosomal RNA is filed under the name uncultured bacterium. RNAcentral describes it as "partial 16S ribosomal RNA". It matches the Rfam family "Bacterial small subunit ribosomal RNA", at positions 28 to 506 of the family's 1533-position model. The record is from RNAcentral.